AUACGGAGGGUGCAAGCGUUAUCCGGAUUCACUGGGUUUAAAGGGUGCGUAGGUGGAAUGGUAAGUCAGUGGUGAAAUCUCCAAGCUUAACUUGGAAACUGCCGUUGAUACUAUCAUUCUUGAAUAUCGUGGAGGUGAGCGGAAUAUGUCAUGUAGCGGUGAAAUGCUUAGAUAUGACAUAGAACACCGAUUGCGAAGGCAGCUCACUACGCGAUUAUUGACACUGAGGCACGAAAGCGUGGGGAUCAAACAGGAUUAGAUACCCUGGUAGUCCACGCCCUAAACGAUGGAUACUCGACAUCAGCGAUACACUGUUGGUGUCUGAGCGAAAGCAUUAAGUAUCCCACCUGGGAAGUACGAUCGCAAGAUUGAA
Molecule: ribosomal RNA, 373 nt
Filed under: uncultured bacterium
Lineage: Bacteria
Description: bacterial SSU rRNA
Rfam family: Bacterial small subunit ribosomal RNA
Source: RNAcentral